This 1101-nucleotide long non-coding RNA is filed under the name Marmota monax (woodchuck). Lineage: Eukaryota; Metazoa; Chordata; Mammalia; Rodentia; Sciuridae. The record is from RNAcentral.
AACCUCAAGGGGAAAAUCCUACGGUACACUGGCUCUCAAAUUCAGCUGCACACUGGAACCACCUGGGAACUGUACAUAAUACUGACCCCUGGACCACCCACUGGCCCUGGGCUGAUGGAAUAUCUCUGGGCUAAGAUGAGACACUGGGGUUUGUAAAUUACCAGUUGAGUAUAAUAUAAAGCAAACUUUGGAAACAUUCCUUUUUUUCCCCCCCACAUGAAGAACUGUGUGCAUACAGAUACAGAAGUACACAAAUCUGCAGCAUAAGGCUCCUUGAGGUCCAUAGAUUAAAUGCACUGCAGUGACCAGCACCCUGGCUAGGAACACCACCAGCCCCCUGGAAGCCUCCUAUUUCCACCUUCCAGGUGAUCACAGCCCUGCCAUCCAAGCAUGGAGGAGUCCUCCCUGCUGAGAGACAUCAAUGUGGAGAAUGGAGAGCCCCUCUCUCCUCGGAGUCCCUGCUUUGACAACAAGUGCACUGGAGAAGUUUAAAUCAAGUGGGAGGCACAUGGGCAGGCUUCCUGGAUGAGGCCCUAUUGAAAGAAGGAUGGGAUCUGAGGAAUGGACCAGAGAGAGGAAAGAUGGGAAGUACAGCAAGUACAUUCAGAGCCGAGGUCACGCCCAAAAUACAAUAUUGGCUGACAAGAGAGUCCUUGCACCAGGAUCACCAAUUUUGAGAAGGCAAUGACGACUGCUGAAAAGAUCAAUUCCACAAAAUUCCAUGGAAACCACUCAUCAGACCUUUCUGAAAACACUGGAAAUGCAGGUUUCAUGCAAGGAACUCUGGGUGACAGACGGCAAAGUUUGCCAAAUGCAAACAUGCCUACCAGCUCUGAGAAGCCAUUCUCAUUCACACUGCUUCAACCCGGGAAAAAUCCCCAUGUGCUCACUGAGAACAAGUUAGCUUGUGCCACUUGAAGCUGCUUCCACAAACAGCUUCACUUCUGCACUUCUAAGCUGUUCUCCUCAAGAACUUUCAGAGCACAGUUCAGGCAUGAAACACAAAGGGUGCCAGAAAGAGAUCUCUUGAAUCUAGCAUCACCAACUUGCAGGGGAAAAGAGGACCAGCUGAGAAGAUCAAUUCUCCAAAGUCUCAUUGAG